RNAcentral lists this non-coding RNA (43 nucleotides) under Rhodobacteraceae bacterium HTCC2083. Lineage: Bacteria; Pseudomonadati; Pseudomonadota; Alphaproteobacteria; Rhodobacterales; Paracoccaceae. The record is from RNAcentral.
AGGGGCUCGCGAACACCCCGUGAGGCUUCGGCCAAAGUUUCGC